UACACAGAGACACACACGUUCCCACACACUACACACAAAGGGGAAGAAUGACGCGCGCCUGCCAAAUGGUGGGGAAAGUAUGACGGUGUAGGUUGAACGGGCGUUUUACUGAGGAGCGGUGCGUGUUCGCACACUGCCCUAUAUAUAUAUAUAGGGUGGUGUGUGAGCAUAUAGGUAGUGUGUAACUCCCCUCCCCCCUCCUUCCCCCCUCCUAGUGUGGGAGGAAAAGGAGACAAAGGGGGAGAGGAAAAGAGCGUUACAUCACGAAGAUUACAAAAAAAAACAAUCAUCGAAUCGCCACCCACAAGACUGGAGCUUGCUCCCUCGAAGGCGCCAAGUAUAUUCAUGAUCACAAGACAUUCUUUUUGUACAUCUCUCGAGACAAACGCGACGUGUGCGUUUUUGCCGCACGCGUCCACUGCCGUGUCACCACACAACACUUCUCUGCCCUGGAAGCUGACUGUACGGAACUCCUCGCCGGAAUGUAGCGCCUUGCCUUUUCUUCGACUCUCUCGCUCUGUAAAGAGAGAAGGGGGGAGAAGAGAGGGCUUGGCCACUGGAAUACACCAAACCACAACCUUUUACGUCCCUCUCCAAACGAGAGAACAUGCAUGGGCUGGCAUGAGCUGCAUGCUUCACUUCGGUGGGGCUCGAGGGGCAUUUACGUCCCGAGGCGCUGAACCUUGAGGCCUGAAAUUUCAUGCUCAGGGACACACUCUUUUUUUCUAGAUGACGUUCUCUAUAAUGUGUGUCGCUUAGCUGUGUGUGUGUAUAACGCAUAUACGCACACACAGCAAACCGAAUGGCGCAACGGACCCGACAACCAGUGUUUUGUGCGCACUUUACUACUCCCCCGGAAUCUAUAGUCUCACUAGUGUGUGUGUCUAUACGCGGGGUGGUGGUGUGGUGCACACACAGCUCUCGUUGUCGGGUC
This 934-nucleotide ribosomal RNA is filed under the name Leishmania guyanensis. RNAcentral describes it as "partial LSU ribosomal RNA". Lineage: Eukaryota; Euglenozoa; Kinetoplastea; Trypanosomatida; Trypanosomatidae. The record is from RNAcentral.